UGAGGAAUAUUGGUCAAUGGGCGGGAGCCUGAACCAGCCAAGCCGCGUGAGGGAUGAAGGCCCUAUGGGUCGUAAACCUCUUUUGUCAGGGAACAAAAGCGAGUAUGUAUACUAGUCUGAGUGUACCUGAAGAAAAAGCAUCGGCUAACUCCGUGCCAGCAGCCGCGGUAAUACGGAGGAUGCGAGCGUUAUCCGGAUUUAUUGGGUUUAAACGGGUUGCGUAGGGCGGCGAUGCAAGUCAGCGGUAAAAGCCCGGGGCUCAACCCCGGCGAGCCGUUGAAACUGCAGUGCUAGAGAAGGCGAGAGGUACGCGGAAUGCGCAGUGUAGCGGUGAAAUGCUUAGAUAUUGCGCAGAACUCCGAUUGCGAAGGCAGCGUACUGGCGCCUGACUGACGCUGAGGCACGAAAGCGUGGGGGAUCGAACAGGAUUAGAUAACC
Molecule: ribosomal RNA, 438 nt
Filed under: uncultured bacterium
Lineage: Bacteria
Description: bacterial SSU rRNA
Rfam family: Bacterial small subunit ribosomal RNA
Source: RNAcentral